GCAGCAACGCCGUUUGUUGCUGGCGCAUCCGCAGGUGCGGAUGAGUUAACUGAUAGAAGGAUGAUAUCGAUG
Non-coding RNA from Pantoea sp. At-9b, 72 nucleotides. NCBI's taxonomy places the organism in Bacteria, Pseudomonadati, Pseudomonadota, Gammaproteobacteria, Enterobacterales, Erwiniaceae. The record is from Rfam.